This 492-nucleotide ribosomal RNA is filed under the name uncultured bacterium. RNAcentral describes it as "partial 16S ribosomal RNA". It matches the Rfam family "Bacterial small subunit ribosomal RNA", at positions 29 to 507 of the family's 1533-position model. The record is from RNAcentral.
AGUGAACGCUGGCGGUAGGCCUAACACAUGCAAGUCGAACGGCAGCACAGUAAGAGCUUGCUCUUACGGGUGGCGAGUGGCGGGCGGGUGAGGAAGACAUCGGAAUCUACUUUUUCGAGGGGGAUAACGAAGGGAAACUUACGGUAAUACAGCAUACGACCUACGGGUGAAAGCAGUGGAUCUUCGGACCUUGCGCGAUUGAAUGAGCCGAUGUCGGGUUAGCUAGUUGGCGGGGUAAAGGCCCACCAAGGCGACGAUCCGUAGCUGGUCUGAGAGGAUGAUCAGCCACACUGGAACUGAGACACCGUCCAGACUCCUACGGGAGGCAGCAGUGGGCAAUAUUGGACAAUGGCAGCAAGCCUGAUCCAGCCAUACCGCGUGGGUGAAGAAGGCCUUCGGGUUGUAAAGCACUUUUGUUGGGAAAGAAAAGCAGCAGGUUAAUACCCCGCUGUUCUGACGGUACCCAAAGAAUAAGCACCGGCUAACUUCGUG